Molecule: ribosomal RNA, 271 nt
Filed under: uncultured bacterium
Lineage: Bacteria
Description: partial 16S ribosomal RNA
Rfam family: Bacterial small subunit ribosomal RNA
Source: RNAcentral
GACGAACCGUGCGAACGUUGUUCGGAAUCACUGGGCUUAAAGGGUGCGUAGGCGGGCAAUCAAGUCCGGGGUGAAAUCCUCCAGCUUAACUGGAGAAUAGCCUUGGAUACUGGUGGUCUCGAGGGAGGUAGGGGCAGCUGGAACUUCCGGUGGAGCGGUGAAAUGCGUUGAUAUCGGAAGGAACGCCGGUGGCGAAAGCGAGCUGCUGGACCUCUUCUGACGCUGAGGCACGAAAGCCAGGGGAGCAAACGGGAUUAGAAACCCCGGUAGU